Molecule: ribosomal RNA, 254 nt
Filed under: uncultured bacterium
Lineage: Bacteria
Description: partial 16S ribosomal RNA
Rfam family: Archaeal small subunit ribosomal RNA
Source: RNAcentral
UACCAGCACCCCGAGUGGUCGGGACGAUUAUUGGGCCUAAAGCAUCCGUAGCCGGUCAUGCAAGUCUUCCGUUAAAUCCAGCCGCUCAACGGUUGGGCUGCGGAGGAUACUACGUGGCUAGGAGGCGGGAGAGGCAAGCGGUACUCGAUGGGUAGGGGUAAAAUCCGUUGAUCCAUUGAAGACCACCAGUGGCGAAGGCGGCUUGCCAGAACGCGCUCGACGGUGAGGGAUGAAAGCUGGGGGGAGCAAACCGG